This 866-nucleotide ribosomal RNA is filed under the name Glutamicibacter sp. RNAcentral describes it as "bacterial SSU rRNA". It matches the Rfam family "Bacterial small subunit ribosomal RNA", at positions 57 to 927 of the family's 1533-position model. The record is from RNAcentral. Lineage: Bacteria; Bacillati; Actinomycetota; Actinomycetes; Micrococcales; Micrococcaceae.
GCGAUCGAUGAUGCUGGGUGCUUGCACUGGUGGAUUAGUGGCAGAACGGGUGAGUAACACGUGAGUAACCUGCCCCUGACUUCGGGAUAAGCCCGGGAAACUGGGUCUAAUACCGGAUAUGACUUCCUGCUGCAUGGCAGGGGGUGGAAAGAUUUAUCGGUUGGGGAUGGACUCGCGGCCUAUCAUCUUGUUGGUGAGGUAAUGGCUCACCAAGGCGACGACGGGUAGCCGGCCUGAGAGGGUGACCGGCCACACUGGGACUGAGACACGGCCCAGACUCCUACGGGAGGCAGCAGUGGGGAAUAUUGCACAAUGGGCGAAAGCCUGAUGCAGCGACGCCGCGUGAGGGAUGACGGCCUUCGGGUUGUAAACCUCUUUCAGUAGGGAAGAAGCCCCUUUUUGGGGUGACGGUACUUGCAGAAGAAGCGCCGGCUAACUACGUGCCAGCAGCCGCGGUAAUACGUAGGGCGCAAGCGUUAUCCGGAAUUAUUGGGCGUAAAGAGCUCGUAGGCGGUUUGUCGCGUCUGCCGUGAAAGUCCGAGGCUCAACCUCGGAUCUGCGGUGGGUACGGGCAGACUAGAGUGAUGUAGGGGAGACUGGAAUUCCUGGUGUAGCGGUGAAAUGCGCAGAUAUCAGGAGGAACACCGAUGGCGAAGGCAGGUCUCUGGGCAUUUACUGACGCUGAGGAGCGAAAGCAUGUGGAGCGAACAGGAUUAGAUACCCUGGUAAUCCAUGCCGUAGACGUUGGGCACUAGGUGUGAGGGACAUUCCAGGUUUUCCGCGCCGUAGCUAAAGCAUUACGUGCCCCGCCUGGGGGAGUACGGCCGCAAGGCUAAAACUCAAAGGAAUUGACGGGGGCCUGCACA